GAAUUCACUAGUGAUUCAGGCCUAACACAUGCAAGUCGAACGGCAGCACGGGUGCUUGCACCUGGUGGCGAGUGGCGAACGGGUGAGUAAUAUAUCGGAACGUACCUUAUUGUGGGGGAUAACGCAGCGAAAGCUGUGCUAAUACCGCAUAAUCCCUAAGGGGGAAAGCGGGGGACCGUAAGGCCUCGCGCAAUUAGAGCGGCCGAUACCUGAUUAGCUAGUUGGUGAGGUAAAGGCUCACCAAGGCAACGAUCAGUAGCUGGUCUGAGAGGACGAUCAGCCACACUGGGACUGAGACACGGCCCAGACUCCUACGGGAGGCAGCAGUGGGGAAUUUUGGACAAUGGGGGCAACCCUGAUCCAGCAAUGCCGCGUGAGUGAAGAAGGCCUUCGGGUUGUAAAGCUAUUGUUGUCAGGGAAGAAACAGCAGCUCUAACACAGUUUGC
RNAcentral lists this ribosomal RNA (446 nucleotides) under uncultured bacterium. RNAcentral's name for it is "bacterial SSU rRNA". It matches the Rfam family "Bacterial small subunit ribosomal RNA", at positions 34 to 467 of the family's 1533-position model. The record is from RNAcentral.